GAGCCAGCCUGGUGGGCUUCACAUCUGGACGCGGUGCAGGGGAGGCCGAGGGCAAGUUGGCUUUUUCCUGCUGGCAGGAUGGACACGGGCAGCGGGCCCACAAACCCAGCAGGGAAGGGGCCAGGACCUGCUCAGGGAGGCCUGCAGCAGCCGUUGAUGGGCCCAGGCCCACCUCGUCCGGAUGCAGCUGUAGGCCCUUCUGUGUAUUUCCAACAGCUUGCUUAUUUGCGCCUCCCUCCUCGGCUGGCUUCUGAUGGGGCCUCUGUCUUCUGCUCACCUCCGGUAGCCCUGCGCUCAGCAUGCAGCUACUCUGGUCUCCGGGUCUCCUGUCUGGAUGAUGGAAUCCAGGCUAUUGGCAUUGGGAGGACUAAGUGUGGAGCUGUCAGCACUAAGGAGGCCUCACCGAGCCCUGCUGUCCUUGGAACUCAAGCCCCACCCUCUGCACUGCUGCUCCCCCCUGAGGGGCUAAGGGACACUUAAACAUACACAGCCGCCAUCGCUCAAGCGCUGGGAGGCACUUGCGGUGGUAACGGCACUUACAGCCUACGUGGAUCCUGAAGUCAGUUUGAGGCUGACGCUUACCUGCAGAAGUCUGAGAAGUUUAGCUGACCACUCACAGCUGAGUUUCUUCUGCUGCGAAGCAUGGGUGAUACUAACUCAGAGAGACACCAGGAAAUAGAAAGGCUCUGUGCACGGUGCAGACACUACUCGUAGCCUAGUGGCUACUUCGAAUAUAGCAAGUGCUUCGGAAAAUCUUUGUUGAGCCUGUUACAGAAGCUGGACAUCGCCUUCCGUGUGCAGUGUAUCUCACUGCUGGGGGCAGUUGUGGACAUCUGUCUUGUUGGAGAAGGAUCGCUGAGGUUUGGAACUUGCUCUCUCACUAAGCACAUGGUGGCUUAGGACAAGUCAGAGUCUAUGAAAGGGAAGCUAUAACGCGUGGGAUUCUAAUGUUCAGCUUAACUUGAAAACACAAGUGUAAAAAUUCCGCUGACACAUGAUAUGACAUGGGGAGUUUACUUCGAAAUCACCGGAGGGGUGGCUUGGGGAGGUGAGUGGGGUGAGACUGCCCACGAACGCACAGCUGCCGAGGCCGAGGGCUGCUGUGAGCGGGGUGUGUCGCGGUUUCCCUGCAGCGCUGUGUCGCCUGUGGGCGCCUUCAGUACUGAGGAUGGAACCGAGGCCUCGGGCCUGCUAAGCACGACUGCACCACCAAGGGACAACCACCCCUGACUUCUCUGUAUUUCUGAAAUUCCCAAGAUAAAAUGUUAGAAAAAAAAAUGAGC
RNAcentral lists this long non-coding RNA (1283 nucleotides) under Fukomys damarensis (Damara mole-rat). RNAcentral's name for it is "lncRNA (ENSFDAG00000026035.1)". Lineage: Eukaryota; Metazoa; Chordata; Mammalia; Rodentia; Bathyergidae. The record is from RNAcentral.